RNAcentral lists this long non-coding RNA (759 nucleotides) under Numida meleagris (helmeted guineafowl). Its description in RNAcentral is "lncRNA (ENSNMEG00000000752.1)". The record is from RNAcentral. Lineage: Eukaryota; Metazoa; Chordata; Aves; Galliformes; Numididae.
CAAUGAAGGAGCUUAUAAAGCUUCAGAGUAUACUUAUUCACUCGGAUAUUAAGUCUCUUUCAGAAAGGAGUAAUAGUGAGGCACUGUGACUUCCAUUUUAAAGACCAUGUGGCAAGGUGAUGGGAGAGAGUGUUUCUGACAUUCGGAGGAAAGCUGACUGCUGCUUUUAUUUAUCUAUAGGAGAGGUGGGUGACACCGUUUUCAGAAAAUACCAUACAGAUCUCGUUUCUUUCCAUGAUGGUCUCGAACACAGGAGUUUGGAGCUGCAGUGUUGAGAAUUGUCACAGGCAGCCAGUGGAAACCUGAACUUCUUGCCACUAAGAGAUUUUUAAAAUGAAAGCUGUAGAGUAAAAUGGUGAACAGACUUUACGCAUAUUUGCAUAAAUACAUGGAUAUUUGUCAUUUUCCUGAAAUGUACCUCAGGAAAAGUGAAGUCUAAUUCUUCCUUUUCGCAUAAAUGUCUGAAUUUUGACUUGCUCUUCUUGAGAUUCUCUUUUUUUAAUCUCAUAACUGUGUAAAGCAUUCAAAGAAAGCGUAAGGAUAUUUUUACUCAAAUAGCAUCUUAAAACGUGAAUACUCUGUUGUCUUUGUGAAGCUAUGUUAUAUGAACAGUGAUGUUGUUGGUCAGAUUUUUAAGUACUUACUCAAUUUUCACUUGGUCCUUCUUCAUUUAAACAUCCUUUCUAUUAAACAAGACUUUUUACCUGUCUAGAUGCAUGAAAGAAUAAAAAGUCCAUGAUCUGGUUUAUAAAUAAAUAU